AAGCAACUAACUUGGGUCGCGAACAGUAGUAUUGACAGUAUAGCCGCGUUCCAAGAGAAGCUUGAUGAUCCAUGAGGCUAUGUAACCCGACCCGCCCGUCACACAUACUACUCUUCCUUCGCCGCUCAUCUUUCUCUCUCUCCCAAAGAAGAGAUAGCCGUCAGCUGUGGAUUGGUCGCACCAACUUCUCGAUCAUAAUCAUAUAUAGCUCUUUAAAAUUAGUUUAUUAUCAUUAUUUUUUAAAAAUUUCUGUCUUCCUGGGGCAAACUCUUCUUUUGGUUUGUUUUAAAAGGAUAAAUACUGUUUUCUCCUUGUAUUUUGUCCAAGUAGCAGUCGCUCGCGUGUACUAUCAAAUUAUCCAUUUACUCCCCUAUGGCCAGUUAACCGAUUUAGUCGUUUCGCUAUGUUUUCAAUCCGAUUAUAUUAGUAAUUCCGUUCAAUACUGACAUGACAAUUGAAUCAACAUCCUACAUAAAACCAUAUAUCAAAUUAUUUAUUGAACCAUUUAAUACGUCAGAUAAUUCAGCGUGACGACGUCACAUUUAAUAUAUAUAUAAUAAUAAUAAGAGGAGUACUAUUGCAUUUUAUUUUCCUAAAAUAAAAUCAUUCUUACCAUGCAUGCACUUCUUCUUUUCAUUUUACCUUUUUUUAUCUUUUUAUUUCACUUCCUUUUCAUUUUAUUGAUGUGUUCUGAUGGUUUGGAUUUUAUUUCAUGAGCUCUCUCGUUGGUUUUUGGGAGACGAAAGUUUUUAAUUAAGAUGACGAUUUUUAAAUCUUUGACCUUAAGUCGUAUAAUAAAUUACAAGUGUUUGUAAUUAGUUAGAAUGGGUGUUACCAGUUACAGAUACUUGCAAUUUAUUAUAGGUGACUAUAACUAGUUAUGAAAAGGUGGCCAGAAGUUUGUUGGAGAGUGUAUAGACUGGCAAUGCAAGUGUGUUUGGUGUUCUCAUAACUAUAGAUUGUUGAAUGUAUUUAUAGCCAUUGUUUGUAGUUUGCAAGAAUGGGAAGUUUUCCUUACAAACUAUGUAUGUUUGAUCAAAUAGGAUACAUUAACAUUACAGUUGUUAGUAAGAAUUAAGAAGGAAACAAAUCUUAUGUUUGCCUUUUUCGAAUAACUAGUUACAAACCAAGUAAUAUUAUCUGCCAAAUUUGCUACCAAUUUUGAUCAGUUUUUAUAUGCUUACGUGUAUACUUUUCGAUUUUAACUAGUUCUGUGUCAUGAAUCAAUACAGGAUUAUGGGUUUUGGAUUUCCAGAACCCUCAAUACCAGCCUACGACGAGCAAAAUAACGAAAGCUCGUCGUAGCUGGAGCACUGGCUCGGAGCGGGGUACUAAUCCACACGAAAAGGAGGCCACGUCCGAGAAAACGAAGCCGGCAGCUGUGGGCCAGGAAAAUCCGGAGCCGGCCUACCGAUUGGAGUUUGAGCCGGGUUGGAUCCGCUUGCUUAUAUGGGCGGCCCAGUGUUUACUGUGUAGUUGAUUCAGCAAAACGGCAAAACCCCCGAGAAACCUCAAACCUCCAUCACUCAGAACUCUCGCCUCUCUGUUGACCCAGAAGAAAGGCAAAAAAGAACACUCGCCUAUCCUGUGCUGCAGAGAGAACCAGGAAAAGAUGGCGGCUUUGAAGAGCUUGACGGACAUGGACGACCCGGAGCUGAAGCCUCGUAUGCUCCGCAGUCUCCUUAAGGAAGACGUUCCGAAUGAGAAGAAACCCUUUGAUAAUCCUUCAAACCUUAAAAGGGUUGUCUCCCGGAUUCAAACCCACGAGCUGCUCUCCGAGUGCUUCUCCGAAACAAUGGACGAGAAGCUAAUUGGCCGGUGGAAGUCCGCCGUCGACGACUGGAUCAAUCGAUUGUCGUCGCUGGUGUCUAAUCUUAACAUGGUAAUGAUUCACUGCAGACUCCUCUUCUCUUUGUUUUGCAUUGAGAAUCUUUUUUUUACUUUAGCUAGUAUAGCUCACCGUACACUUGAAGAGAAAAGAACAAUAGAAACUAGAAGAAUAAUGGGCGCAGAUCGACUGUCUACAUUCAUCCUUGUUGUUACAUAAUUUUUGGUGGAGUUAUUCUCUAUCAAUGAUGGUAACUAUCCAAGAAGAGGAUUUAUCAGUUAAUUUCAUGGAUACAUUUAACCUUGUUUCGGCAGUAAGUUAUGAGAUAGUAUCGUUUCUGUUCAGCUCAAAUCCACUGUGAAAAUUAAACGUUAUCUCACUAAUGAUGGUCUAAUUCUAAAAAGUCAUCAUGUGAUUCUCUAAUUUUCAAUCUCCGUACAAAAGAGGUCUGACUCGUUUUGCAGUAAUAUAUGUUGUUUCUAGUCUCAAAUUACUGAUGUUUGAUUCCUUGUUUGCUCUUUAUUUUAGUAAGUGUUGCUCACUGUACACUAUAUUGUUUAUCUGCCUGACUAAUUGAUUUAUGUUUUAGCCAGAUAAAUCUUGGGCUGGUAUAUGCUUGCUGGGAGUAACAAGCCAAGAGUGCAGCUCUGAGCGUUUUGUGGCAUCAUACACCGUAUGGUUUGACAAACUUCUAGUGUCCAUGCAGGUAUGUGCCAUCUAUAGUUAUCUUAUGUACGCCUAAAUAUCCUUUCUUGUGCUGGAAAUUUUGCAAGUUUUGGCAGCUCUAGCAUUGUGCUUUUCUAGCUUACUUUCCACUGUUUCUAAGCCCAUAUGUUUCAUUUUUCCCUCAACAGUCAUCUGCUGAUUCUCAAUUUAUAAAGGUGGCUUCUUGUGCAUCAAUGUCAGAUCUUAUUACAAGGUCGGUAACUCUUCGAGAACCCCAGUUCUUCUUGUAACUAGUUUCCAUAGUCUUGACGCUAUGAUCUAUUUUGAAUCAGGUUGGCUGGGUUCCCAAAGUUGAAGAAGGAUGGGUUAUCGUGUGCAGGGAAACUCAUUCAACCUCUUCUCAAGAUGCUGGAUGAGGACUCUCCAGAGUCUGUGCAGGUUGAUAGACAUUUCACUGAUUAUUAUUUAUGAAUAGCAAUUAAAAAUCUCAUUGAACCCAUGGUGGUUGUUGACCAUGUCAUUCUGUAGUCUAUUGUCUUAUAGUUGUGUCCUAUGAUUGGUUUGGAUAAGUUGUUCCAUCAAAAAUAUAUAGUCCUUUGGUUCUGCUGUUGAAAUAGUAAUAGUAUAUUCUGUUUGAUUGUUAUUUAUACUGACUGUGAUUUAGUUGUUAACUCUUCUUGUUGGCUGUGGCAUGCAGGAAAUGGCUCUGCGUAUGUUAUCCACAAUUAUUAAUUUAUUUCCUGCUUCUCUUCCUCGUUAUUAUGAUAGUGUAAGUUUUUCUUUUCUCUCUUCUAUAAGCAUAAAUGUUUUUUUGUUGUUGCAUUGAAAUUAUUAUAAUGAACUCAACUCUGCAGGUUGAAGCUGCAGUCGCAUCUAGAAUGUUUUCAGGAAAUGGCAGUCUUAGUUUACAGAAGGUACCCCAUCUUUGUUUUUGCUUUCUCUGUAUAUUGGGUUUCUUUCGUGCGACCAAGUUUGAUCAUCUUCUCUCUUUUUGACAUUCAGAAGUUUGCUUCUUCCCUGGCAUUACUUCCAAAAUCCAGAGGAGAUGAAGAAAGUUGGCUCCUACUAAUACGAAGGAUUUUAUUGUUGCUAAAUGGUUAUUUAACUAGUGUUUUCGAUGGACUUGAAGAGGGUAUGUAUUCUUUGCAUCUUGAUAUUCCAGUCACUUUUUUUAGAAUGGAAUUAAAUUAACCCAACUAUUUGUAUGUGUUGCAGCAAGUAAAUGGGAGGAGUCUGUGAAAUUGUUGGUUCCUCCUGGGGAGGUUCCUCCACAAAUGAUAUGGGGUCAAAAGUUGGUAGAAAGAGUCUCCGGAAAGGAUAGAUGGAGAUCCAAGUUAUCCUCUAUAUUAUUAUUGAUGCACAGCUGUUCAAUGAUGCUUACCAAUUCACACCCUAACCAGGUAUUAAAACUAUUUGUUCACAAUUUAAAUCAAGGAAGCCUAGUAUGUGAUACUCUUUAAAAUUGAUACAGGUACAUGUUCCAGUUUGCUCUUUAUUAGCCCUCGUGGAGAGGGUCUUGAUGGUCCAUGGUUCUUUGCCGAGUGCCACGUCCUUUGUAAUUGCAGCUGAACAAGAUUAUGUGUGUUCAGAACUCCCGCUUCUGCAUUCAUACUGUCUAGAGCUCCUCUCUUCAGUAAUAAAGGGCAUGCGCAGGUAAAAAUACAAUCCAAUUCCUGUUUGUUGAUCAUCAUCAGACCUAGACAACUAUAAGUUUCCUUCAUGUUCCAGUUCAUCUAAGCCUCAUAUUCUUACUUUUCCCCUAAGCAAAAGUUUUUCCUUUUCCAUACUCUGCUCUCAAUUGUUGAUUUGUUUACGAAAUCAUAUAUUUUUGUUAUCAUUUCAUUUUUUUGUGUUGGUUUCCUUGACAGUCAACUACUGCCACAUGCUGCAUACAUUGUCCGACUAGUUAAAGCGUAUUUUAAACGUUGUCAACUACCACAUCUACGGCAAAAGGUGUAUGCAAUUGCAAAGAUGCUGCUCAUAUCUAUGGGUGUCGGUAAGUGAAUCUUUCAAAUUGGCUCUGUCAAUUCAUCAGCUGAAGUUCUUUCUUGAUCAUCUGGUAAAUUAGUCUCUUGUUCAAUGAUACUUCUGAUAUGACGCAUCUCAAUAAAUUUCACAUGCUAUUCAUGAGCGAGUUAAAGACAAUCAAAAUUAAAAUUCCGAAGUGGCUGAUGUGGGUAUAUUUUGACUGCAUACAGGUGUAGCAAUCUAUCUGGCACAAGAUGUUGUCAACAAUGCCCUCACUGAUCUGACUUCUGGUGCUGAUAAUACAAUCAAUGGAAGAUUGAAUGUGUCUUCUCAGGCCUGGUUGCAACCUUGUUCGAAAAAAAGAAAACACAGUGGUACAGAUGACAUCGAACAGCAGCAAAACUCAGUCGCAAUGGAAUUCCCAUUAGUUGAUUACAAGUCAGCUAGAGGUUCAGUCAAACUAGCUGCGGUUGAUGCAAUAGAAGCUCUUCUUACUGUGGUAUUGUUCUUUAUCUAUAGCAUUUCGUCAAUCUGUUAAAUACUCGGUGAUCACCUAAAGACACUGUUCCUAGUAGUCUUUGAGACAUUUUUGGUUUCUUUGGCUGGCAGGGUGGUGCUCUUAGAUCCGAGUCAUGGCGGUUAAGAAUCGAUAACUUGCUAAUAAACAUAGUGGAAAGUUGCUGUAGAGGUAGAUGGGGUAAUGAUGGAAGGAGUUUCUCGUCGAACGAUCCAGAUUUUCAACUAGCGGCAUUGAAGGCACUUUUGGCAUCUCUCCUUUCCCCAACUCGCUCUCGCCCUCCUCAUUUAGCACAAAGUCUCGAGCUUUUUCGGCAAGGUAAACUUUCUCCCUUUGCCACCAUCUCGUAAUUGUAUUACGAUUUCAUUGAAUUCCUCAUCAAGCUGGGUUUGGACUGUGCAGGCAGACAAGAGAUUGGAACAAGGAUCUCUGACUUCUGCGCCCAUGCUCUCUUAGCCUUGGAAUUGCUUAUACAUCCUCGUGCAUUGCCAUUGAUAGAUUCACUAUCAAGUAACUCUCUCCACGGUUUCGAAGACCCUGCUGGUCAGAAGCCUAGCACGCCAUUCCCCUUGAGCAAUCACGAAGCAGAACAUGGUGGAAAUUUCGAUCUAAGUGAUGACUUGCUGUACCAAAGUUGGAUAGAUAACUCUAAUAAGGGAACCGAGAGCUCGAUAGAAAUUGUAGAAAGACAGACAAAUGUUGAAGAAAGAGAAACCCACUCAGCAGCCAGAGUUCAACCAGGCAAUGCAAAAGCCGAUACGAGGAUAUCCAGCAACGAUGAAACAAUGGUCGAUUUGGUACAGGCUACUAAUGCAACAGUCCCGCAGGCCAAUGAAUUUGGUUCGGCAGGAGCUGCUGCUGAUGUUUCGGCAGUUGACAAAGUGGAGGUAACAAGAGAGAGGAGCUUAGACAAUGCUGCUCGCCCAGUUGAUCAGAUUACUGGUACUGAUGCUGUCAUGGAGGAGAAAAGUGACGAUCUUUAUCUGAAUAAAGGUGCAAGAUUAGGCUCUCCAAAGAAUAGGACAGCCACUGGCGAGGAAUCGGAUAAUGAGUCGACGGAUUCACUUCCGGAAAUCGUCUUUGCUGACCCAGAUUCUGAUUAGCAGCCAGUUAGUGUUAUCUAGGUGUGGAGAUGAAUCUGAGGAGUGCAAAGACUCAACUGCAUUUUGGCAGAGGCUAAGCAGAGGUGAAAUUGUGGUGUUGUUUUUUGUGGAAUAGUUUUAGGGUUUGACAUGCAGAAUCACAAUCGUAACUUGUCAAAAGAAGACUUGCAUUGUAGUUUGUAAGCACAUGUUUUGACAACAGGUGGUUUUUGCCAAAAUUGUCCCUCGAAAACCUUGGCCGCCUGAUCGAUGCAGGAGUUGAAACGAUUUCCAAGCCGUUGGAUCAAACUACCCAAUCGUUCUGAUAAUGCCAUCAUAGCAAUAUCCGAGUAGAUACUGAAAUAUAGCAUCUCGUGAUUUUUAUAUCAUGUCAGUCAUUAAAUCUUUUGGACAUGAAACGCCAAAUAUAUAAUGGCAAGAUAGCAUUGUUUUACAAGCUGGUUUACAAAGCUACUAUGGAGCUAUCCUGUCCAUAUUCCAAACAUAUCAAUGGAGAACUAAAUUCCAAUAUAUGAUGGCGGCUUUCGAACAACUCUUACCUUGCUACUAGCUUCAAAAAUCCCCAGGUACAGAUAUAUAAACAUAUUACUUCUCUCAUGUACCGGCUAAUAAUUCCAGAAUGAUGAUGAUGAGCAGAGCCGGCGUAGUUUCCUCUGGCAUCAUUAUACUGUCUAUUAUUCUUCCCAACAAUUUCAACAGCUUAUCGUCGUCGGUUGUUGUGUACGACUUCAACCAUAUUUGCAACGGAGUCCCCGUCAGCGAUUCUAGCCCUUUGAAGGUUGCUUCAGGAAGAGCGCCGGGUCUUUGCCGCCAGAUGUUAUAGAUUUUUGCAAGGAUGGAAGUGAUGACAGAGGGACCUACACCAUGCACGGCCAAGGUGGUUGCAUUUCCGCCGGUGACUGCUCCGAUUGUAUAGUUCAAGCCGAAGCUUACCUAUGGUCAAAUUGUCAGAACCAACUCGGCGGCCAGGCCCACGAGGAGCAAACUGGUUAUUGCUUCAUCAGGUUUGAGAACUACAACAUCUGUAAUCCAACUUAGGCCACCGCUCAGCAUCUUCUAAUUUGGAGCAAACUGGUUAUUGCUUCAUCAGGUUUGAGAACUACCACAUCUGUAAUCCAACUUAGGCCACUGCUCGGCAUCUUCUAAUUUUCAUGUUGUGUUUUUAUAUGAGUUAAACCUUUAUAUUUUGAAAUUUUGUUUAGGGUCUCGGACCACCAUAAUUUCGAGAUUAUGAUUGGGUCUUUUCUAUCAUAUUUUGUUGUAGGUGGUGCUUCAGUUGUCCUUUUUCUGGGGACGAGGAUAAAUGAUGUUAUAAUAGUGGAUGAAGCAUCUUACUAUUAUAACUAGAUCAUCAUGUACAUAAUGAAAUGGGAAAAAUGAGAAUUAUUGGUCCAUUUUGGCGAAUGAAAAGAGUUAUGGACUAAACUUUUUAAUUUCACAUCCAUCAUGUAUUGGGUGUUUUAUCGCCUUACAAGUUAGUUUAAGUUUGAAAGGGUGACGUUUUUCCUCACAUUUACCGAGUCCAUUUUAAUUUUAAGUUUUGUGUGUUGAGUUUUAAUGCUCGGUUGAUUCGUUUGAGUGAUUGGUGAUUCGUACUUGGAGGAUCGUUGGUUCGUUUGAGUACGUGCCGAUUCGUGCUUGGAGGACCGCUAAUCGUUAGAUAUUCACUCUCGUUCGUGGAUGAUUAUCUAUCUUGCUUCCACCUCUUGUCGAAGAUUUGAGUUUCAAGUGUUCCGUGUCGAGAUUGUUGUUGGGUUUCAUCGCAAUCGUGGCGUAGUUCACAUCAAUUUUGCAUUAUCCAGUUUUGGAGAUAAAUCUUAAAUUCAUCUAUCAAUCCAAUGGGUAAAGAAUGAAUAGGGGCAAACUGGGAACUUUGGUCACUCCUUUCGUUGUGUUAGUUGGUUUGAGAAAUUAUAUUACAGGAUGUGAAAGAUACGUUUGUUAUACAAUUACAACACAGAAACCUUACAAUCACAGACACAUCAAGUUUCAGAGACUCCAAGUAUCAACACAGCUACGACCAUUCAAGUUCAAUACGAUUUACAUCUAAAACAGAUGGUAGUUCUGAAACCAACUUCAUAGAUUACAAUCGAAGAUGGUUUCAAAAUUUGAGAACACCUUUCUCUUUGAAACAUUCAAUGGUGUCCUUAAGACUCACCUCGAGAGGAGUGAAGUCGACGCCCAAACUCUUAGCCUUCUCUUGAGAUAUCUUACAUGUUGGCUGAGAUGUCUUGCCACUUUCCCAUCUGCCAUUCACAGAACAUUGUGAUCAAUCCUGUAGACGUCAGUGUUAAAAUAUAAUAUGGAAAUCUGAAAUCCAAAGUAACCAAACCAGACUCACUUUGCAGCUAUUUGUAAAUUGGGGUAAUGUUCAUGCAAAAUUUCCAGAACCUCAGUAUAGUGAGCCAUUCUUCCAACUACGCAAUAUCUCCCACUUGCUGAUGGGAUCUCAAGUGCUAGAACAUGUGAAUUCGCCACAUCUCGGACAUCAACAAAUCUAUAGCUUUCGCCUGGGAAUUCUCGUGUUCCUGCAUUCAAGAACAGUACUUGCUCAUUUUUUGGUCACUUUAGUACGUAAAAUCACAGAACGAAACAUACUAGCUCGAAUAAGUGAUCGAAAAAGUAGCAAUCUUUUAUCAACAAAUAAAAAGCAAAUUUGAUUUCACUAUAUCAUUCUAUAGCACCAAUCAACUUUAGUAAUUGUAUGAAUGAACCACAGUCAAUCUCUUACCGUUUAUAAUCCUGAGAACCUCCUCCACUGUGAAAUUAAGAGAUUUCUGUAGGUAAGGACCAAUUACGAAUCCGGGGUUAAUCGUUACAAGAUCAAUCCCAUUCUCUUUCGCAAAUUUCCAGGCAGCCUCUUCCGCCAAAGUUUUCGAAAGCAUGUACCAAUGCUGGGGAUAGAAAAAAGAACAAAAGGAAGUGAAGUAAGACUGGAUGUUUAGCUAGAACUUUCGACUUACCUAACCAAUCUUCUCUAACAAUUCAGGAUUGCAGAACUGAUCCACAGGAGUGCAAAUAUGGAGGAAAGACCUUGUGCAUACCUGGUUCUUCUCACAAAAUUCAGGAUCAGAGAACCAAGUCUCAUCGACCACAACACCAGGGGAAAGAGGCCUCCCAUUACAGAUUACAGAAGCCAUAGAAGCAGUCAGAACAACUCUCUUGAUAGAAGGAACUUUUGCACAUGAUUUCAGAACGCUGAGUGUGCCCUUCACUGCGGGUUCAAUUAAAUCUGCCUGAACCAUAGAAAAAAUUAGGGUUUCACUUUUUCAGUUACCCCACCAGUAGAGAUAUAUAUAUCCUUGAAAUGAAACUUACUCCUCAAUUCCUCAUUUCUCCAAAUUACAGAAACUGCAGCUCUCAGAGUAGAAAAAGUGAACUAACCUGUGGGUUGGUAGUUUGAAAGAAGCAAGGAGAGGCAGUAUGGAAGACGCCUUCGCAUCCGUCGACAGCAGAAUCAAAACAACCAUCUUCAUUAAGAUUUGCUUUGUGUAAUUGAAGCCUAUCUCCAGCUCCGUCGAGGGAAAGUAAGUGUUGGGUCUUGGUUUUAUCAGCUGCACUCAUACAAAUUGAUCUUCCUAAGAGCUAAAGACUCGAAAUUGAUAGCAAGAAACUGCUGAAAGAAGCAAAAAGCAACUAACUUGGAUCGCGAACAGUGGUAUUGACAGUAUAGCCGCGUUCCAAGAGAAGCUUGAUGAUCCAUGAGGCUAGUUAACCUGCCCCGCCCGUCACACAUACUACUCUUCCUUCGCCGAUCAUAUCGUUCCUCUGUGUGUAAGUGAGGAAUUGUACUGUGAGUGCUCACUACCCAGUUACUCUAGUGGAGGCGUAGGCUAUCACCUUACAUCACAUAACUUUCAUCGCGUCUUGCUGGCCGCAAUUUUUUAUUUUGUUCAAAACAUUUUUUCCAGGAUAAUUAAAUUGGCA
This 10009-nucleotide long non-coding RNA is filed under the name Linum usitatissimum (flax). RNAcentral describes it as "long non-coding RNA (LUSI_LNC005215)". Lineage: Eukaryota; Viridiplantae; Streptophyta; Magnoliopsida; Malpighiales; Linaceae. The record is from RNAcentral.